This 1524-nucleotide ribosomal RNA is filed under the name metagenome. Its description in RNAcentral is "bacterial SSU rRNA". It matches the Rfam family "Bacterial small subunit ribosomal RNA". The record is from RNAcentral.
AGAGUUUGAUCCUGGCUCAGAACAAACGCUGGCGGUGUGCCUAACACAUGCAAGUCGAACGAGAAAGCCCACUUCGGUGGGUUAGUAAAGUGGCGACCGGGUGAGUAACGCGUGAGUAACGUAUCUUUAGGUUUAGAAUAACAUUUCGAAAGAGAUGCUAAUACUGAAUAUUAUAAUUGUUCCUAUAAGAGACAGUUAUGAAAGAUGGCCUCUACUUGUAAGCUAUUGCCAAGAGAGCGGCUCGCGUACCAUUAGCUUGUUGGUGGGGUAAUGGCCUACCAAGGCUAUGAUGGUUAGCCGGCCUGAGAGGGUGAACGGCCACACUGGAACUGAAACACGGUCCCGACUCCUACGGGAGGCAGCAGUGAGGAAUAUUGCGCAAUGGGGGAAACCCUGACGCAGCAACGCCGCGUGAGCGAUGAAGGCUCUUGGGUCGUAAAGCUCUGUCAGGUAGGACGAAAUGUAGAAAGGGAUAAUAUCCUUUUUAUUUGACGGUACUACCAGAGGAAGCCCCGGCUAACUCCGUGCCAGCAGCCGCGGUAAUACGGAGGGGGCAAGCGUUGUUCGGAUUUAUUGGGCGUAAAGGGCGUGUAGGUGGUUACGUAAGUUAGACGUGAAAUCUCUAGGCUUAACCAAGAGACUGCGUCUAAUACUGCAUAACUUGAGUGCAGGAUAGGAGAGCGGAAUUCCCAGUGUAGCGGUGAAAUGCGUAGAUAUUGGGAGGAACACCAGUGGCGAAGGCGGCUCUCUGGACUGACACUGACACUAAGGCGCGAAAGCUAGGGGAGCGAACGGGAUUAGAUACCCCGGUAGUCCUAGCCGUAAACGAUGGGUACUAGGUGUAGAAGGUAUCGACCCCUUCUGUGCCGUAGCUAACGCAUUAAGUACCCCGCCUGGGGAGUACGGUCGCAAGGCUGAAACUCAAGGAAUUGACGGGGGCCCGCACAAGCGGUGGAGCAUGUGGUUUAAUUCGACGCAACGCGAAGAACCUUACCGAGAUUUGACAUUUAGGCGAAAGCACUAGAAAUAGAGCUGUGCCUUCGGGAACGCUUAGACAGGUGCUGCAUGGCUGUCGUCAGCUCGUGUCGUGAGAUGUUGGGUUAAGUCCCGCAACGAGCGCAACCCUCACCCUUAUUUGCCAGCAGGUUAAGCUGGGCACUAUUGGGAAACUGCCGGUGAUAAACCGGAGGAAGGUGGGGAUGACGUCAAGUCCUCAUGGCCCUUAUGUCUCGGGCUACACACGUGCUACAAUGGCCAAUACAAAGGGUUGCCAAAUCGUGAGAUGGAGCUAAUCCCAGAAAGUUGGUCUCAGUUCGGAUUGAAGUCUGCAACUCGACUUCAUGAAGUUGGAAUCGCUAGUAAUCGCGGAUCAGCAUGCCGCGGUGAAUACGUUCCCGGGCCUUGUACACACCGCCCGUCACACCACGAAAGUUAGUUGUACCAGAAGUCAUUGAGCUAACCUUACACUAAGGAGGCAGGUGCCCAAGGUACGAUUAGUGAUUGGGGUGAAGUCGUAACAAGGUA